Molecule: long non-coding RNA, 511 nt
Organism: Carassius gibelio (silver crucian carp)
Lineage: Eukaryota; Metazoa; Chordata; Actinopteri; Cypriniformes; Cyprinidae
Exons: 3
Source: RefSeq, a predicted model, not a curated record
UAAGUCACUUGUCUGUGUAAGAAACUGCCCUCUAAAGAGUGGUAUUUAAAUGAAGAUAAGAAGUGACAACUUCAACACCCGCUAAUUGCUUCCUGGUGACACAGAGUGCAUAUAUUAAUUAGACAAGCUCAUUCAAAACCGGAGGAAAAGGGCUGCAUUCCCUCUGCCUUUACCUGUAUUUGGUUUGGCCCACAGCCAACCUAGUGCAGAUCUGUGGUUUCACGCUCUCUUUCCUUCAGCUUCUGAGUUGUGGCCUUUAAUUCCUUCGCUGAAGUAAGGACUCAUGGUUUAAAUGAGAAUGCAGUGCUCCAUUGAUUUGAAGAGUCAACAUUUCCAGGAUGCUCAGGAGAAAAUGUUUUACACACUUUAAAUUUAAGAUAAGUCUGGAAGGUGUAUAAUUUUAGAUUUGAUGCUUUUUUAUUAAAGGGAUAGCCCACCUAAAAAGGAAAAUUCUGUCAUCAUUUACUUACCCAUCAUAUCGAUCUAAAACUGCAUGCCACUUUUUUUUUCU